GACGAACGCUGGCGGCGUGCCUAAUACAUGCAAGUAGAACGCUGAAGGAGGAGCUUGCUUCUCUGGAUGAGUUGCGAACGGGUGAGUAACGCGUAGGUAACCUGCCUGGUAGCGGGGGAUAACUAUUGGAAACGAUAGCUAAUACCGCAUAAUAGUAGAUGUUGCAUGACAUUUGCUUAAAAUGUGCAAUUGCAUCACUACCAGAUGGACCUGCGUUGUAUUAACUAGUUGGUGGGGUAACGGCUCACCAAGGCGACGAUACAUAGCCGACCUGAGAGGGUGGACGGCCACACUGGGAAUGAGAAACGGCCCAAGAUCCUAAGGGAGGCAGCAGGAGGGAAACUUCGGCAAUGGACGGAAGUCUGAACGAGCAAAGCCGGGUGAGUGAAGAAGGUUUUCGGAUCGUAAAGCUCUGUUGUAAGAGAAGAACGAGUGUGAGAGUGGAAAGUUCACACUGUGACGGUAUCUUACCAGAAAGGGACGGCUAACUACGUG
This 495-nucleotide ribosomal RNA is filed under the name uncultured bacterium. RNAcentral's name for it is "partial 16S ribosomal RNA". It matches the Rfam family "Bacterial small subunit ribosomal RNA", at positions 28 to 507 of the family's 1533-position model. The record is from RNAcentral.